Molecule: non-coding RNA, 31 nt
Filed under: Rattus norvegicus (Norway rat)
Lineage: Eukaryota; Metazoa; Chordata; Mammalia; Rodentia; Muridae
Source: RNAcentral
UGAGAGACUUCGCCCAGUGGGUAAGGACUCC